RNAcentral lists this ribosomal RNA (1550 nucleotides) under Klebsiella pneumoniae. Its description in RNAcentral is "bacterial SSU rRNA". It matches the Rfam family "Bacterial small subunit ribosomal RNA". The record is from RNAcentral. Lineage: Bacteria; Pseudomonadati; Pseudomonadota; Gammaproteobacteria; Enterobacterales; Enterobacteriaceae.
AAAUUGAAGAGUUUGAUCAUGGCUCAGAUUGAACGCUGGCGGCAGGCCUAACACAUGCAAGUCGAGCGGUAGCACAGAGAGCUUGCUCUCGGGUGACGAGCGGCGGACGGGUGAGUAAUGUCUGGGAAACUGCCUGAUGGAGGGGGAUAACUACUGGAAACGGUAGCUAAUACCGCAUAACGUCGCAAGACCAAAGUGGGGGACCUUCGGGCCUCAUGCCAUCAGAUGUGCCCAGAUGGGAUUAGCUAGUAGGUGGGGUAACGGCUCACCUAGGCGACGAUCCCUAGCUGGUCUGAGAGGAUGACCAGCCACACUGGAACUGAGACACGGUCCAGACUCCUACGGGAGGCAGCAGUGGGGAAUAUUGCACAAUGGGCGCAAGCCUGAUGCAGCCAUGCCGCGUGUGUGAAGAAGGCCUUCGGGUUGUAAAGCACUUUCAGCGGGGAGGAAGGCGAUAAGGUUAAUAACCUUGUCGAUUGACGUUACCCGCAGAAGAAGCACCGGCUAACUCCGUGCCAGCAGCCGCGGUAAUACGGAGGGUGCAAGCGUUAAUCGGAAUUACUGGGCGUAAAGCGCACGCAGGCGGUCUGUCAAGUCGGAUGUGAAAUCCCCGGGCUUAACCUGGGAACUGCAUUCGAAACUGGCAGGCUAGAGUCUUGUAGAGGGGGGUAGAAUUCCAGGUGUAGCGGUGAAAUGCGUAGAGAUCUGGAGGAAUACCGGUGGCGAAGGCGGCCCCCUGGACAAAGACUGACGCUCAGGUGCGAAAGCGUGGGGAGCAAACAGGAUUAGAUACCCUGGUAGUCCACGCCGUAAACGAUGUCGAUUUGGAGGUUGUGCCCUUGAGGCGUGGCUUCCGGAGCUAACGCGUUAAAUCGACCGCCUGGGGAGUACGGCCGCAAGGUUAAAACUCAAAUGAAUUGACGGGGGCCCGCACAAGCGGUGGAGCAUGUGGUUUAAUUCGAUGCAACGCGAAGAACCUUACGUGGUCUUGACAUCCACAGAACUUUCCAGAGAUGGAUUGGUGCCUCCGGUAACUGUGAGACAGGUACUGCAUGGCUGUCGUCAGCUCGUGUUGUGAAAUGUUGGGUUAAGUCCCGCAACGAGCGCAACCCUUAUCCUUUGUUGCCAGCGGUCCGGCCGGGAACUCAAAGGAGACUGCCAGUGAUAAACUGGAGGAAGGUGGGGAUGACGUCAAGUCAUCAUGGCCCUUACGACCAGGGCUACACACGUGCUACAAUGGCAUAUACAAAGAGAAGCGACCUCGCGAGAGCAAGCGGACCUCAUAAAGUAUGUCGUAGUCCGGAUUGGAGUCUGCAACUCGACUCCAUGAAGUCGGAAUCGCUAGUAAUCGUAGAUCAGAAUGCUACGGUGAAUACGUUCCCGGGCCUUGUACACACCGCCCGUCACACCAUGGGAGUGGGUUGCAAAAGAAGUAGGUAGCUUAACCUUCGGGAGGGCGCUUACCACUUUGUGAUUCAUGACUGGGGUGAAGUCGUAACAAGGUAACCGUAGGGGAACCUGCGGUUGGAUCACCUCCUUACCUUAAAGAA